GAUGAACGCUGGCGGCGUGCCUAGUACAUGCAAGUCGAGCGAACGGACGAGAAGCUUGCUUUUCUGAUGUUAGCGGCGGACGGGUGAGUAACACGUGGAUAACCUACCUAUAAGACUGGGAUAACUUCGGGAAACAGGAGCUAAUACCGGAUAAUAUUUUGAACCGCAUGGUUCAAAAGUGAAAGACGGUCUUGCUGUCACUUAUAGAUGGAUCCGCGCUGCAUUAGCUAGUUGGUAAGGUAACGGCUUACCAAGGCAACGAUGCAUAGCCGACCUGAGAGGGUGAUCGGCCACACUGGAACUGAGACACGGUCCAGACUCCUACGGGAGGCAGCAGUAGGGAAUCUUCCGCAAUGGGCGAAAGCCUGACGGAGCAACGCCGCGUGAGUGAUGAAGGUCUUCGGAUCGUAAAACUCUGUUAUUAGGGAAGAACAUAUGUGUAAGUAACUGUGCACAUCUUGACGGUACCUAAUCAGAAAGCCACGGCUAACUACGUG
RNAcentral lists this ribosomal RNA (497 nucleotides) under uncultured bacterium. RNAcentral's name for it is "partial 16S ribosomal RNA". It matches the Rfam family "Bacterial small subunit ribosomal RNA", at positions 28 to 507 of the family's 1533-position model. The record is from RNAcentral.